UGGAAGUAAACAAUCGUAACAAGGUUUCCGUAGGUGAACCUGCGGAAGGAUCAUUAACAUUAAUUUACUACACACUGUUUUUUUACAACAAAACAAAUCUAUCUAAAAACAAUUCUUUACAAGAAAUUCUUAAAACUUUCAACAACGGAUCUCUUGGUUCUCGCAUCGAUGAAGAACGCAGCGAAAUGCGAUACGUAAUACGAAUCGCAGCUCUCGGAAUCAUCGAAUCUUUGAACGCACAUUGCACCAUUGGGUAUUCCCAAUGGUAUGCUUGUUUGAGCGAAUACUUCCCUAAUCCUCACGGAUUGUAUUGUGUUUGCACGAAAAUAAUGACGACAGUACUCUACAAAACGGUACCGUCAGUACACUCAUUUUUUUUCCUCAAAUCAAGUAGGACUACCCGCUGAACUUAAGCAUAUCAUAAGGCGGAGGA
Molecule: ribosomal RNA, 433 nt
Filed under: Kodamaea ohmeri
Lineage: Eukaryota; Fungi; Ascomycota; Pichiomycetes; Serinales; Debaryomycetaceae
Description: eukaryotic LSU rRNA
Rfam family: 5.8S ribosomal RNA (bases 134-285)
Source: RNAcentral